UCUAAUGUGGCAGAAUUGUAUGCAAUGAAUUUAAAAUUCAUUUAUAAGUAUUUAUAUUUCUUUAGAA
Molecule: transfer RNA, 67 nt
Filed under: Guayaquila pallescens
Lineage: Eukaryota; Metazoa; Arthropoda; Insecta; Hemiptera; Membracidae
Description: tRNA-Leu
Source: RNAcentral